Malassezia arunalokei is the source of this 128-nucleotide non-coding RNA. NCBI's taxonomy places the organism in Eukaryota, Fungi, Basidiomycota, Malasseziomycetes, Malasseziales, Malasseziaceae. The record is from the annotation of a GenBank genome assembly.
UCUCCCGUCGUCUAGUUGGUUUAUGACACGGUGCUUAUAGAGGUCCAAAGGCACAUUGCCCCUAUGCACGGCCCGCUUUGCUGCGGAGAGACACGCCGUUGUCCGGGGUUCGAAUCCCCGCGGGAGAA